This is a non-coding RNA of Marasmius tenuissimus, 100 nucleotides long. The record is from the annotation of a GenBank genome assembly. NCBI's taxonomy places the organism in Eukaryota, Fungi, Basidiomycota, Agaricomycetes, Agaricales, Marasmiaceae.
GCCCGCCUAGCUCAAUCGGAUAGAGCGUCAGACUUUUAUGCAUAGGGGUAAUUGAAAGUACGAAAUCUGAAGGCUGCGAGUUCGACCCUCGCGGUGGGCU